RNAcentral lists this unclassified non-coding RNA (348 nucleotides) under soil metagenome. RNAcentral describes it as "partial contains 5.8S ribosomal RNA, internal transcribed spacer 2, and large subunit ribosomal RNA". The stretch from base 1 to 120 matches the Rfam family "5.8S ribosomal RNA", at positions 35 to 154 of the family's 154-position model. The record is from RNAcentral.
GAUGAAGAACGCAGCGAAAUGCGAUAAGUAAUGUGAAUUGCAGAAUUCAGUGAAUCAUCGAGUCUUUGAACGCACAUUGCGCCCCCUGGUAUUCCGGGGGGCAUGCCUGUCCGAGCGUCAUUGCUGCCCUCAAGCACGGCUUGUGUGUUGGGCCCCCGUCCCCGGUUUCCCCCGGGGACGGGCCCGAAAGGCAGCGGCGGCACCGCGUCCGGUCCUCGAGCGUAUGGGGCUUUGUCAACCGCUCUGUAGGCCCGGCCGGCGCCAGCCGACACCCAACUUUAUUUCUAAGGUUGACCUCGGAUCAGGUAGGGAUACCCGCUGAACUUAAGCAUAUCAAUAAGCGGAGGA